Haliotis rubra (blacklip abalone) is the source of this 140-nucleotide long non-coding RNA. RefSeq lists it as uncharacterized. The record is from RefSeq and is a predicted model, not a curated record. Lineage: Eukaryota; Metazoa; Mollusca; Gastropoda; Lepetellida; Haliotidae. The transcript has 3 exons.
UGUGGUUUAAACAUAUUUAUUCAUUUAGUCAUGAUGGGAUUGGCAAACAAGCAUAAAAACAUGCUUAUAUCAAUGCCGCUCCCUAACAAUGAUACAAUAGUAUUAACAUUAAUGAUAGUGACGUUCGUUAUAUCCAUUGU